GCCCACGUGGCGCAGUCGGUAGCGCACGUCCUUGGUAAGGACGGGGUCGCCGGUUCGAGUCCGGUCGUGGGCUCCA
Molecule: transfer RNA, 76 nt
Filed under: Pseudomonadota bacterium
Lineage: Bacteria; Pseudomonadati; Pseudomonadota
Also listed under: 2 other names
Description: tRNA-Thr
Rfam family: tRNA
About the family: Transfer RNA (tRNA) molecules are approximately 80 nucleotides in length. Their secondary structure includes four short double-helical elements and three loops (D, anti-codon, and T loops).
Source: RNAcentral